AUACGUAGGGGGCGAGCGUUGUCCGGAAUGAUUGGGCGUAAAGGGCGCGUAGGCGGCCCGGUAAUUCUGGAGUGAAAGUCCUGUUUUUAAGAUGGGAAUUGCUUUGGAUACUGUCGGGCUUGAGUGCAGGAGAGGUAAGGUGAAUUCCCAGAGUAGUGGUGAAAGGCGUAGAGAUUGGGAGGAACACCAGUGGCGAAGGCGGCUUACUGGACUGUAACUGACGCUGAGGCGCGAAAGUGUGGGGAGCAAACAGGAUUAGAUACCCUGGUAGUCCACACUGUAAACGAUGAAUGCUAGGUGUAGGGGGUAUCGACCCCUUCUGUGCCGCAGUCAACACAAUAAGCAUUCCGCCUGGGGAGUACGGCCGCAAGGUUGAAACUCAAAGGAAUUGACGGGG
Molecule: ribosomal RNA, 397 nt
Filed under: uncultured bacterium
Lineage: Bacteria
Description: partial 16S ribosomal RNA
Rfam family: Bacterial small subunit ribosomal RNA
Source: RNAcentral